UAGGGAAUCUUCCACAAUGGGCGCAAGCCUGAUGGAGCAACACCGCGUGAGUGAGGAAGGGUUUCGGCUCGUAAAGCUCUGUUGUUGGAGAAGAACGUGCGUGAGAGUAACUGUUCACGCAGUGACGGUAUCCAACCAGAAAGUCACGGCUAACCACGUGCCAG
This 164-nucleotide ribosomal RNA is filed under the name uncultured bacterium. Its description in RNAcentral is "partial 16S rRNA". It matches the Rfam family "Bacterial small subunit ribosomal RNA", at positions 355 to 511 of the family's 1533-position model. The record is from RNAcentral.